UACAGAGGUCUCAAGCGUUGUUCGGAUUCAUUGGGCGUAAAGGGUGCGUAGGUGGCGCCGUAAGUCAGGUGUGAAAUCCCGGGGCUCAACCCCGGAACUGCACUUGAUACUGCGGUGCUCGAGUACUGGAGAGGAGAUUGGAAUUUACGGUGUAGCAGUGAAAUGCGUAGAUAUCGUAAGGAAGACCAGUGGCGAAGGCGAAUCUCUGGACAGUUACUGACACUGAGGCACGAAGGCCAGGGGAGCAAACGGG
This 253-nucleotide ribosomal RNA is filed under the name uncultured bacterium. Its description in RNAcentral is "partial 16S ribosomal RNA". It matches the Rfam family "Bacterial small subunit ribosomal RNA", at positions 524 to 776 of the family's 1533-position model. The record is from RNAcentral.